UUUUGAGAGGAGCUGUCCUUAGUACGAGAGGACCGGGAUGGACAUACCUCUGGUGUACCAGUUGUCGUGCCAACGGCAUAGCUGGGUAGCUAUGUAUGGACGGGAUAAGUGCUGAAAGCAUCUAAGCAUGAAGCCCCCCUCAAGAUGAGAUUUCCCAACUUCGGUUAUAAGAUCCCUCGAAGAUGACGAGGUUAAUAGGUUCGAGGUGGAAGCGUGGUGACACGUGGAGCUGACGAAUACUAAUCGAUCGAAGACUUAAUCAA
RNAcentral lists this ribosomal RNA (263 nucleotides) under Staphylococcus epidermidis NIHLM070. RNAcentral describes it as "partial 23S ribosomal RNA". It matches the Rfam family "Bacterial large subunit ribosomal RNA", at positions 2660 to 2925 of the family's 2925-position model. The record is from RNAcentral. Lineage: Bacteria; Bacillati; Bacillota; Bacilli; Caryophanales; Staphylococcaceae.